GUUGGUGAACCAGCGGAGGGAUCAUUACGAGAGUGUCACCACUCCCAACCCAUUGUUUACCUACCCGUCCACCGUGCUUCGGCAGGCAGUCCUGUGGGACAGGGCCUCGCCCCCUCCGGGGGGUGCCUGCCGCUGGCCAACCAACCAUUCUAGCUGUUUUUGUACCAUCUGAGUCUUCCACAAAUAAACAAAACUUUCAACAACGGAUCUCUUGGUUCUG
This 220-nucleotide unclassified non-coding RNA is filed under the name rhizosphere metagenome. RNAcentral describes it as "partial ribosomal RNA internal transcribed spacer region". The record is from RNAcentral.